This 549-nucleotide ribosomal RNA is filed under the name Labroides phthirophagus (Hawaiian cleaner wrasse). RNAcentral describes it as "partial 16S ribosomal RNA". It matches the Rfam family "Bacterial large subunit ribosomal RNA", at positions 1843 to 2597 of the family's 2925-position model. Lineage: Eukaryota; Metazoa; Chordata; Actinopteri; Labriformes; Labridae. The record is from RNAcentral.
AAAUAAGAGGUCACGCCUGCCCAGUGACUAUAUGUUUAACGGCCGCGGUAUUUUGACCGUGCAAAGGUAGCGCAAUCACUUGUCUUUUAAAUGGGGACCUGUAUGAAUGGCAUCACGAGGGCUUAACUGUCUCCUUUCUCAAGCCAAUGAAAUUGAUCUCCCCGUGCAGAAGCGGGGAUAACUACAUAAGACGAGAAGACCCUAUGGAGCUUUAGACACUAAGGCAGCUUAUGUUAAUUAAUCCCGACAAGGAGCUGAACUGAGUGAGUUCUGUCCUAAUGUCUUUGGUUGGGGCGACCCUGGGGAGAUAAAGAACCCCCAUGUGGACUGGAAACAUGUUUUCCAAAACCAAGAGCUUCCGCUCUAAGAAGCAGAAUUUCUGACCGAUCCGGCAAAGCCGAUCAACGGACCGAGUUACCCUAGGGAUAACAGCGCAAUCCCCUUUUAGAGUCCAUAUCGACAAGGGGGUUUACGACCUCGAUGUUGGAUCAGGACAUCCUAAUGGUGCAGCCGCUAUUAAGGGUUCGUUUGUUCAACGAUUAAAGUCCU